CAGUCGAACGGAGAUGUAAGGAGCUUGCUUUUUACAUCUUAGUGGCGGACGGCUGUGUAACGCGUGGAUAACCUGGCCCAUACAGGGGGAUAGCAGCUGGAAACGGCUGGUAAUACCGCAUAAGCGCACGAGAUCGCAUGAUCUUGAGUGAAAAACUCCGGUGGUAUGGGAUGGGUCCGCGUCUGAUUAGGCAGUUGGCGGGGUAAAGGCCCACCAAACCGACGAUCAGUAGCCGGCCUGAGAGGGUGUGCGGCCACAUUGGGACUGAGACACGGCCCAAACUCCUACGGGAGGCAGCAGUGGGGAAUAUUGCACAAUGGGGGAAACCCUGAUGCAGCGACGCCGCGUGAGUGAAGAAGUAUUUCGGUAUGUAAAGCUCUAUCAGCAGGGAAGAACAUGACGGUACCUGACUAAGAAGCCCCGGCUAACUACGUGCCAGCAGCCGCGGUAAUACGUAGGGGGCAAGCGUUAUCCGGAUUUACUGGGUGUAAAGGGAGCGUAGACGGCAGUGCAAGCCUGGAGUGAAAGGAUGGGGCCCAACCCCAUGACUGCUCUGGGAACUGUACAGCUAGAGUGCCGGAGGGGUAAGCGGAAUUCCUAGUGUAGCGGUGAAAUGCGUAGAUAUUAGGAGGAACACUAGUGGCGAAGGCGGCUUACUGGACGGUAACUGACGUUGAGGCUCGAAAGCGUGGGGAGCAAACAGGAUUAGAUACCCUGGUAGUCCACGCUGUAAACGAUGAAUACUAGG
This 748-nucleotide ribosomal RNA is filed under the name uncultured bacterium. RNAcentral's name for it is "bacterial SSU rRNA". It matches the Rfam family "Bacterial small subunit ribosomal RNA", at positions 59 to 820 of the family's 1533-position model. The record is from RNAcentral.